RNAcentral lists this long non-coding RNA (274 nucleotides) under Elaeis guineensis (African oil palm). Its description in RNAcentral is "long non-coding RNA (EGUI_LNC057324)". The record is from RNAcentral. Lineage: Eukaryota; Viridiplantae; Streptophyta; Magnoliopsida; Arecales; Arecaceae.
GUUACUGUAGAAAUCCUAUUGUAGGAGAAGCUCGAACACUGACGAAGUCCAGACGAAGUUCGAAGUAGAGUCAUCCGUGGUCGGAAGAAGUUUGGAAGAGAUUCGGAGAAUAGUCGAUCACCAUAGAAAAUCGACUGAUAGCGAAGUUCAGAGGAUAUUUGGAGUAGUCCGAUAGAUGAAUGAGGAAGCUCAUUGUCGAAGAAAUCUAGAUGGUAUUAUGGAAGCUCGGACGGUCGAGGGAGUUCAGAAAGAUGCCACACAAUGUCGGAAGCCG